Molecule: small nucleolar RNA, 105 nt
Filed under: Panthera leo (lion)
Lineage: Eukaryota; Metazoa; Chordata; Mammalia; Carnivora; Felidae
Description: Small nucleolar RNA U3 (ENSPLOG00000004345.1)
Rfam family: Small nucleolar RNA U3
About the family: Small nucleolar RNAs (snoRNAs) are involved in the processing and modification of rRNA in the nucleolus.
Source: Rfam by way of RNAcentral
AAGACUAUACUUUCAGGGAUCAUUUCUAUAGUUCAUUACUAGAGAAGUUUGUCUGAAUGUUUAAUGUUGAUUUAUUUUUGAGAGAGAGAGAGAGGGAGACACAAA